This 840-nucleotide long non-coding RNA is filed under the name Marmota monax (woodchuck). The record is from RNAcentral. Lineage: Eukaryota; Metazoa; Chordata; Mammalia; Rodentia; Sciuridae.
CACAGAGCCCGGCCCUGCCAGGCCUCAGGCCGAGUUGGUCCCACGCCCAGGGUGUCCAGCACCCUCCAGGCGUCACAGGAGGAUCGCCCCUCUGAUGCCCUGACGUGAGGGACAGAGAGGACCCAGGGCUCCGGACAGCCCCUCCCACAGCCGAGGGCUCUCCUGGGUCGGAGUCAGCUCUCCCAGCAGUGCCCACGGGUGGCUCCACAGCCCUGGGCUGUCAACCAUGGCGCCACUGUGCAUUGCCUGAGUGGGGGGCUCCCCGUGAUGGCCCACCCCGGGGCAGGUCUCUACCUGUGUCCUGAGGUUCCCUGAAGCAUCCUAGGGACUCUAGGUGGGGGGCUACCGCCUGCACUUCCUGUACUUCCGUUUCCACCCGAGACCUCGCUGGACCUGCCCUCACCGCCGUCUUCGCCUCCGCCCUCCUCGGCUCCAGAGCUGCCUGCUCACACGUGUUUGUUGUAGCAACAGCCUCCUUGGUGCCACUUCUGUCUGACUCCAUUCACUGAUGCUAUAACAAAAUGCCUGAGGCAGGGAACUCAUGAGGAGCAGAAACACGUUGCUCAGAGAUCUAGAGGCUGAAGGGCAAGGUGUGAGUACCAGCAGGCUAGGUGUCUGGUGACGGAUGCUCUCUGGGCUUUCAAGAUGGCCCCUGGUACGCCCAGUCCUCACUGGCCUCCGUCCCAUCUGUCUUCCAACAGACAGGCACAUGCUGAGCUUCCCCCGGGCCACCAACUGUCUUUUCACAGCUCAAGGGCAUCCUGCCCUGGGUGGCACCUGUGGCCCCAAGGCGGGUGGGGUGUGGAGCAUGAGCUGGCAGCUCAGGGUGGGAAGGGCUGG